This 492-nucleotide ribosomal RNA is filed under the name uncultured bacterium. RNAcentral's name for it is "partial 16S ribosomal RNA". It matches the Rfam family "Bacterial small subunit ribosomal RNA", at positions 28 to 507 of the family's 1533-position model. The record is from RNAcentral.
GAUGAACGCUAGCUACAGGCUUAACACAUGCAAGUCGAGGGGAAACGGCAUUGAGUGCUUGCACUCUUUGGACGUCGACCGGCGCACGGGUGAGUAACGCGUAUCCAACCUUCCCAUUACUGUGGGAUAACCUGCCGAAAGGCAGACUAAUACCGCUUAGUCUUCGCUGACGGCAUCAGAUUUGAAGUAAAGAUUUAUCGGUAAUGGAUGGGGAUGCGUCUGAUUAGCUUGUUGGCGGGGUAACGGCCCACCAAGGCUACGAUCAGUAGGGGUUCUGAGAGGAAGGUCCCCCAGAUUGGAACUGAGACACGGUCCAACCACCUACGGGAGGCAGCAGUGAGGAAUAGUGGUGAAUGGACGGAAGUCUGAACCAGCCAAGUAGCGUGCAGGAUGACGGCCCUAUGGGUUGUAAACUGCUUUUGUAUGGGGAUAAAGUUAGGGACGUGUCCCUAUUUGCAGGUACCAUACGAAUAAGGACCGGCUAAUUCCGUG